This 810-nucleotide ribosomal RNA is filed under the name uncultured Streptococcus sp. Its description in RNAcentral is "bacterial SSU rRNA". It matches the Rfam family "Bacterial small subunit ribosomal RNA", at positions 39 to 835 of the family's 1533-position model. The record is from RNAcentral. Lineage: Bacteria; Bacillati; Bacillota; Bacilli; Lactobacillales; Streptococcaceae.
GCGGCGUGCCUAUACAUGCAAGUAGAACGCUGAAGGAGGAGCUUGCUCUUCUGGAAGAGUUGCGAACGGGUGAGUAACGCGUAGGUAACCUGCCUGGUAGCGGGGGAUAACUAUUGGAAGCGAUAGCUAAUACCGCAUAAGAUUGAAUAUCGCAUGAUAAUUGAUUAAAAGAUGCAAAUGCAUCACUACCAGAUGGACCUGCGUUGUAUUAGCUAGUAGGUGAGGUAACGGCUCACCUAGGCGACGAUACAUAGCCGACCUGAGAGGGUGAUCGGCCACACUGGGACUGAGACACGGCCCAGACUCCUACGGGAGGCAGCAGUAGGGAAUCUUCGGCAAUGGGGGCAACCCUGACCGAGCAACGCCGCGUGAGUGAAGAAGGUUUUCGGAUCGUAAAGCUCUGUUGUAAGAGAAGAACGAGUGUGAGAGUGGAAAGUUCACACUGUGACGGUAUCUUACCAGAAAGGGACGGCUAACUACGUGCCAGCAGCCGCGGUAAUACGUAGGUCCCGAGCGUUGUCCGGAUUUAUUGGGCGUAAAGCGAGCGCAGGCGGUUAGAUAAGUCUGAAGUUAAAGGCUGUGGCUUAACCAUAGUACGCUUUGGAAACUGUUUAACUUGAGUGCAGAAGGGGAGAGUGGAAUUCCAUGUGUAGCGGUGAAAUGCGUAGAUAUAUGGAGGAACACCGGUGGCGAAAGCGGCUCUCUGGUCUGUAACUGACGCUGAGGCUCGAAAGCGUGGGGAGCGAACAGGAUUAGGUACCCUGGUAGUCCACGCCGUAAACGAUGAGUGCUAGGUGUUAGGCCCUUUCC